CAGGCAGGUCACACAGCUUGCUCAGUGAUAGGCCAGCAUGUUAGGGCAGGGGCAGCUCAGCUGUGGGAGGGCACAGGUGGUUCAAGCGGGUACCUGUGGGACUGCUCCAACCCUGUUCCGUGGGUGCACUCAGCCUCACUUGGCUUAGGUUCCUCAAGUCCCUUUGUCCGGCCACCUCUUGCUCCUGUACUCCAGCCAGCUCAGCCUCCCCCCUCUCCCUGUCCCUCCGGGUUGCCUAACCAUCAGCAUCACCAAGUCACAGUGCGCUCUGCACUGCGGGUUCCCAGUCAGCCCAAGCUUGAAGGAGGUGUCAGGACGUCUCUCCUCAUCAUCACACUUGCCCCUGAGACAUGGGGACACUGAGCCCCACAUCCAGUCCCCCAGGAUCCAGAUGCCAAAGUCGCCAAGAUAAGCAACUGGAUCCUGCCAUUGUUUCCUGGAAGGCGGAGGAAGGGGAAGCCUGCAGCCCAGGCUCCCUGCUCAGCGCCCCGGCGUCCUGGGCAGUCUGCCCUCUGCUAGGGUCUCGGCUGGCGUUUGUGUCAGGAAAGUAAACCGUAAACGUGGACGGCCACACACUGUUGCUAAGGAAGGCGCUGCUUAUAGCUGGGGGUGCUGGAGGACUUGCACAUCUCCUCUGUCUUUAACUCUUCUCCUUCAGGGAGGCUGUCCCCAUCCCCUGAACACUCUAGGUCACUUCCUGGACAAUCCGGGUACAGCAACCGACACAGCCCCCACCCCAGGUGACCUCAACACCGCGUCUCACUGGAGUGCUACUUCUCAGGGUCUGCGGGGCUUCCCUCUGCUUUCUGUCACUGACUGGUCCUGAUGAUGGCUGUCAACAGCAGGGGGUGACCGUAACUCCUUCAGGUCCCCAGGUCAUCAGGACUCCUACCUCAGCCUCCCCCCAUGACUGGCAGGUGGGUCCCAGGAGGCCCCAGCCCCAUGGCUGAACCCCCCUCCGUGACACUGACAGUAGAUGUAAGAAGGGGUGGGCUCCAUUCUGCUGACGAUGCCACUUCAGGCAUGAGGCCUCUCUGCUCCCUGUGCGUUGAAGUGAUUUCUAGCUUUAGGAACAGAAGGGAACAAGGAUAUGGCCACCUGCGUCCAGGGUCAAAGGGGCCAAAGAGUCCUCCUCCACAGGGAGGAGCUCUCCAAGGGGCACUGUCAGCAGGGAAGGGAGCAGUCCCAGGGCAGAAACCCUCUGUGUAUGCUCUACCGGAUGCAUCACGUGUCCUCUGGGCUGAGCUUGUCUCGUCUGCACUUCACCCAUCUGGGCUCAACUUAGACCCUUCAUCCUUCUUUGGUCAGAUGUGGGCUUGAACCCUAGUUCCCUCAUCAGAGCUGUCUGUCCGGCCUCUGUUUCCACAUCUGUAAGAUGGGCAUUCAUGCUGUUACUGUGAAGAUACACUGAAAGCCUGCCACACAAGAUGGGGCAUGGACUAUGUAAGGGAAUUCACCCGAAUAAAAUAAUAAAGUCUUUCUGUACAAGAUGCUCCCUGAGCUGUGGCUCAUCAGGGGUAAUAACUGAGAACAACCCGUGUGCUUGGCACCAGGGGAACUCUGACAGCAGCUCACAUUGUGGGGCACCAGUAUGUGGUCCCCCAAGUGAUCACUGAGGCAGGCAGAUCUUCAGUCACAUGGAUGAGCGCUCAUGGGUUUGAAUUCCUAGGAAGCAGAUUACAGGAUUUCUUUAGCAGAUGCUUGUAGCUCAACACUGCUUUCCUGCUGUGACCUCACAGGGGUCUCCUCCUGCCUGCACCCGGGGCCAGGCUUCAGUCAUAGCCCCUGUGGAGCCAUCUGGGGAGACCAGGAGGGCACAGCUAUGUGGGGCUGCACUGGCAGAGUCUUCGAGGAUAGAAACAGUCCUGGAGCUCAGACAGUGCUGGGCACGGCUGCCACUGGCCUCUGGGACUGAGGGAGGGGAGAUGUGAGAGGCUGUGGACCAACAGGGGACAGCGUAAUAGAGCAGGGAGAGAAAAGGCCACAGAAUGAAGACAG
Molecule: long non-coding RNA, 1998 nt
Organism: Heterocephalus glaber (naked mole-rat)
Lineage: Eukaryota; Metazoa; Chordata; Mammalia; Rodentia; Bathyergidae
Source: Ensembl